GGGUGGGGGGACUGGCUCAACCCCAUCUCUAUAAACCACUCAAUAGCUGCUGCAACUGGGAAAAAUGAAUUGGGGUGGUGGGAGGCACCAAUUGCAGAAAGGAGAGAUAACAAGGCAACAGGAGGGAUGAAUAAAACCAGGAGGAAACUUUGCCAACAGGGCUCACCUCCAAAGGUUGGUGCUCCAGAAUGGUUUGUACCCCCUGGGAACUCGCAGGCUCCUGGGAGCUGCCCCUGCUGCAUCUCCCCCAUCCAGGCCAGGCACACAAGGCUCCAGCAUGUGUUCCUGUUGGACCCCGUGCCUCCCACCAGGUGAAAUACAUCCAUCAGAGCACCUCAGGCUCCUUAAACACCGGAGCUGAAAAGUCACCUGCCUAUUCAGGCCUGUAUAAAUCUGGUACACUAUUGCCUCUCCCUGACAGCAACUUCAUCCAGCGCCAGCAUUCUUCCCAGCAUCUCUGACAUUUCAGAAUUAUAUUUAGAGACCUGGAUGGGAAUUUAAUUUUGAAGUUUUUCACGGCACCCUGUCAUAUAAAUAUUCCGCAGUGUCUGCCGUCGGGGGUGUCGGAGCGGAGCGAGCCCGUGCCACUGCCUCUAAUUAAACAGGCCCAAGGAAAGGCACUAAAGAGUGCUGGAACCAUCUUAAAAGUCAGCACGUGUCUCCCUAUUAAUUCUCACCCUGAUCUUUUGCAUAGCGCUAUCGCCAGGCUAAUUAAUCACCGGUGUGAGCUCGAGCAUUAAUUGGAACAAUGAAUCAUUUUUUUUUGUCUGUUCCUGGCCACUUCUAGCCUAUAGGAAUGCAGCUACUGCCAUUACUUUAAUAAUUAUUAUAAAUAUAAAGCCAGCAGCAUGCACUACAUUUGGUAGGCAUUAAAAAAGACGUGGUAUUUGGCCUGGAGCAUUAACAAUCUGGUGCAUGUUCAGGGGAGUGAUGGAUGCAGCUCGCUGACAGUCCGGAAAUGUGCUCCCUGAAUCACUUUAACUCAGGACACUUUAUGAAGGUGCUGGGGAAAGCACAGGUUUCAGGGAUCCAGUGUCUGGAUCAACACGCUUCAGCAGGUCCUGGCCACUCAUGGCUUGUUGGGACUUCCAGGGCACCCAGGGAUGGAAACAUCUCCAUGAACUGCACGAGAGAGGAGAAGCUGCUGACAGAGCUGUUCCAAGAGAUCGGAUUAUAAAUGUAUGGAAUUACUUAGGUGCAUCCUGCAUCCUGCCCAGGAAAAGCACCUGCAUGCACAAUGCCCAGCUGGGAUGUGGCACUGAGAGCUCAGGCACUGAGGUCAGAACUCACCUCCAGUGUCAGGCUGGCAGAAGCACUCCAGGCUUCGGAUGCUGGGAAACACAAAGCCACAAGGAUGAGAACAGAACUUUUCAGGGAGGAAACAAAAGCUAAAAUGUGAACAGCUAUAAACCCCCAAUUUGUCACCCAGAGGACAGCAAGUAUUUCCUUUCCUUGCCAGCCUGGAGGCUGGGGAGAAGCAGAAGUGGCUGAAGGAGAGCUCAAGGUGAGGCCCGUUAUUUACUGCUGCUGAUGAAUAAGCAAACCCCCACAUCAUGUUUUCCUCCAGGACAGGAAAAGCUCUGGAGUGUUUAGCAGGCUGGGCUGGGCAGUUGUUCUUUCCCCCCUCCUGAGGUGUGUUUUACAUGCUCUUCCAGUGAGACACAGUCCCACUAUUAAUUGUUCACACACAUAAAACACAUGGAAUUCUCCUCCACCCCCACACUCAGACCCAGCAGACCAAGUGGGGGAGGGCUGGAAAAUCACCCACCAAGACAGAGGUGGGAGGAAUAACGUAAAAAAGAUCCAAAAAGAUUUGUGUUGUUUUUUUUUUAAGUGCAAUAUACUUCUCUGCACCAGUUUAAAAGCACAGGCUUGUUUGAACUUCCUAGGGAAGGCGGGAGCAUGAGGCAGGAAUUGGCAGGCUCCAAUCUGGCUGCUUUUCCUUAUUAUGAGAAAAUCCACUCUGGUCUUGUGCGAGGGUAUGAAUUCUUCAUCUCAUAUUGUGUUUGCACAGAAGCGUGAAAUACACCCCGAGCACUGGUGCCGUCCCCAGAGCACAAUGCGAGAACAAGGAGGGCACUGAGAACGGGGCCGCUGCUCGCCCAGGGCCCGGGCUCUGCACUGCAUUCAGCACAUCCACGGCACUGAAAAGGAGAGCCCAAGGCACGUAUUUCCUCCCCUGUGCUCGGGGCCCCUGGGCUGUGGGCUGUCGUCCCUGUGGGAAGCUCCCACCCUCCUUUCCAUAAAUGUUCCCCCGCUGCCACUGAAUCACCAAAUAAUCAGGAGAUCCGUGGGAAGGGAAUUAAAGGGUGGUUAUCACGCUGCCGUGUUCUGCUCACUUUAUUUGUUUUAAAUGACCAUGAAAGCAAAGGAGGGGGGAAAGAAAACACACAAGUGGAAACUUAAUUGAGUUGCUGAAAUGUCUUCAAAGGAGCAUUCUGGGCUGGAUGGCGAUGCCUCGGCUCCCACUGGUGGCAUUUGCUCACAUGAGUGGGCAGCUGAUGAGGCAGUUUGGGACCUUUCUCUGAGUGCUCUGUGUCUUCUGCUGCAGGCUUGGAACAGAGGAUGGGCACAGACACCCAGCUCUGGGGGCUUGGGGAUACUGCAUGUCCCAGAAAGGAGCAGGAUGGGAGCAGGCUGCAGGUACCCGGUAUUGCUCUGGGCUACAAGGGUCUGAGUCCUUGUUUCAUGAGAGGGUUUGCUGCUCCAGGGGGAAUAUGCAUGUUGGGAUACAGCUUUUCCCUCCUGGAGCAAAGACCAUCUGCCCCAGCUCUGCUUCUGGGCAGGAGGAAGGGGGAACUCGCUCCACUCGUCAUGGGCACCAAAGUGCAGGCACAAGGUGACAAAACCAACUGAAGUCACAAAGUGGCCUUGGUUAGAGGCUGCCUCAGGAUGGAGGUUUGGGAAGGGUUUCCAGAGGGGUUGCAGAGCCCAUGGAAGAUUUAUGGGGCAGGAGAACACAUCAAAGAGCUGGUCUGGGACAGGAGCAUGAUCAGAGGGACAGGAACAGUGCCACAGGAAAAGAAGAAAACUUGCAGUGGAAGUGGCCAGAAGAAAAGGACCCACAUGGGGGAAGAAGACUCAGACAAAGAAGAGGGAGGAACUGCCCUGACCAACUGGCUGGAGCCGGAAUGUAGGAGAGGGGGCAAAGAAAAGCCAAGAUGUGGAAAGGCAGGUCCCACAAUCCAGCACAAACCAAGCCACCCACACCUGAGGGAGAAGACAGGGUGGGACCGUGUGGGAAAAGGGGGCUCAAGAGAUCCAGUGUGGGAGCCCAGGGAUCUGACAGGGAACCUGCUGGACCUGCUGGAGCAGCCACACUCCGGCUAAUCUCCGAGUGGAACAGAACUUGCCUCUGGCUUGUUACACCCCAUUUUAUUAUGAGUCCAAUAUGCACCCAAGUAAAUAAAAAUGUGGUCCUCUCUCAAUCUUCUAAUGGAUCUUAAAAUCUUCUAACAUGCAGGAAACUCUAUCAAAGAUCCCUUGGAAAGGAUCCCUGCAUUCUCAUGCCUGAGUUCUGAGUCCUGUGCAAAUCCAAACGAAGGCAAAUGGGAGGAGGGGGAGCUGAGCUGCUCUGCCUUGCUGUGUGCAUCCCUUACACUGGCCCAACACUGCUCAGAGGAAUGGAUCAGCUCCUUUCUGAUCCGUUUGUCCAGCCUCCUCCCUAUGCAUGGGCCAACUCCAGCCCAGCAGUGGUUUUUGGAACGCUCUGUAUCCUGCUCAGUCCCUCCUGCCCCAUCUCCAUGCCCCAGGUGUUUUGUCAGGUGCCUUCCUAUCCCAGGAUCUCCCAGGAGCCUGGUGCUCUGAAAUCCAGUGAGGAAGGGUACACAUCCCACUUGUGCUGGGAAGAUAAUGAAAAGGGCAGCCAGGGAUGGAAAGAGGGAUGAAGACCUUCCUGCACACCUCCUGCUCCACUGGCUCUCACUAGGUCAGCACUUUCUGGGAAUUACUGCAUUGCCAGAUGUUGAUUGGGCAUCUGACAGGAGAUGAAUAAAGCCAAUAAAGCUCUUAUUUCUGGCUAUAAAAACAAUAAUGAAAAGCAGACAGGGAUGGCAGAUACGUUGCCUAAAGCCUUCCUAGGCCACACUGAGCCAAAUAUAGCAGGAAUUACCUUCAGCUGCCCUCCCUUCUUGUUCCCUCCUGCCUGUGUGCCACGAGCAACAGCCCUGAGAUGGAGCACUUGGAUGCUACUGUGUACAGGCAGAAUUCCUCUAUUCCUGUCCAAGCUCCCCAGCCAAGACCCUCCUCCAG
Long non-coding RNA from Taeniopygia guttata (zebra finch), 4251 nucleotides. Lineage: Eukaryota; Metazoa; Chordata; Aves; Passeriformes; Estrildidae. The record is from Ensembl.